CAGUAGCCACGGUAAUACGUAGGUGGCAAGCGUUGUCCGGAAUUAUUGGGCGUAAAGGGCUCGCAGGCGGUUUCUUAAGUCUGAUGUGAAAGCCCCCGGCUCAACCGGGGAGGGUCAUUGGAAACUGGGAAACUUGAGUGCAGAAGAGGAGAGUGGAAUUCCACGUGUAGCGGUGAAAUGCGUAGAGAUGUGGAGGAACACCAGUGGCGAAGGCGACUCUCUGGUCUGUAACUGACGCUGAGGAGCGAAAGCGUGGGGAGCGAACAGGAUUAGAUACCCCCGUAGUCCCUGUCUCUUAUAA
Molecule: ribosomal RNA, 301 nt
Filed under: uncultured bacterium
Lineage: Bacteria
Description: partial 16S ribosomal RNA
Rfam family: Bacterial small subunit ribosomal RNA
Source: RNAcentral